GGGGAAUAUUGCGCAAUGGGGGAAACCCUGACGCAGCAACGCCGCGUGAAGGAAAAAGGCCUUCGGGUUGUAAACUUCUUUGAUCGGGGACGAAAAUGACGGUACCCGAGGAACAAGCCACGGCUAACUACGUGCCAGCAGCCGCGGUAAUACGUAGGUGGCAAGCGUUGUCCGGAAUUACUGGGCGUAAAGGGCGUGUAGGCGGGAUGGCAAGUCAGAUGUGAAAGCCCGGGGCUUAACUCCGGAACUGCAUCUGAAACUGCUGUUCUUGAGUGCUGGAGAGGAAAGUGGAAUUCCCAGUGUAGCGGUGAAAUGCGUAGAGAUUGGGAGGAACACCAGUGGCGAAGGCGGCUUUCUGGACAGUAACUGACGCUGAGGCGCGAAAGCGUGGGGAGCAAAC
RNAcentral lists this ribosomal RNA (400 nucleotides) under uncultured bacterium. RNAcentral describes it as "bacterial SSU rRNA". It matches the Rfam family "Bacterial small subunit ribosomal RNA", at positions 356 to 773 of the family's 1533-position model. The record is from RNAcentral.